UCUACAGAGAAACUUUACAGUA
RNAcentral lists this small nuclear RNA (22 nucleotides) under Arabidopsis thaliana (thale cress). RNAcentral describes it as "snRNA_15077". The record is from RNAcentral. Lineage: Eukaryota; Viridiplantae; Streptophyta; Magnoliopsida; Brassicales; Brassicaceae.